CAGCCCUCUGUCUAGUCGUUUAACACUAGUAAAAAUUUACGUUGGGGUGCUUCUCUUUAAUUUUGCUUCAUUUAAUUUUACUGGCAUGGGCUUUCUCUCAUUCGUGUUUGUAUUUUGAGAUGGUUUCCCCCCCCCCACACACACAUUUUUUUUACUUAUCUUCUUUGCCAAUUCUAUUAUGUCUCAAUGUAGGCAACUCAUUUUGUAAGCCAGCAGUUAAAGCUGCUGAAGGCUUUGUUCAUAAUGAAUUAUGAAUUAUUAACUGCUUCCAGUGGAAAAAUGGUGAAUAAAAUGUGACCCCUAUUCUUACAUAUGUUCACCAUUAGGAAACCUGCUACUACAGUAUUUUCAAUUAUUACAUUUCUCAUUUUAAAAACUGCUCUGUUAUCCUGUGUUUUCCUAUUGUUGCCUAAUACUGAGAUCAUUGGCUUUCAAAAUGUCUUUGGGUACCACUUUGUACCUUGGAAUCUGUAAAUAGCCAACAUCUUUCAUCCCCUUUCCUGAUUGCAAAAGGGCUGGCAAACUUUUCCUGCAUCUUGACCAAGAAGAUAGGUUGGAGAGAAAAGGCUGAACAUGUUUUAAAUAGCUGAAGGUCCAAGGUUCAACUUUGUCUCCGUGAGAAUAAGCACCCCUUUCUCUGACAUGAUGGCUUUUGUACAGGGCACCUUAAGACAAACAAUGUGGCCUUUUAAAGAUGGACAUUCAUAAACCACAUGUGUCCUAGAAAUCAGAAAAGUACAAACAGGAGACAAUAUUUGUAACUUAGGGUUGAACUAUGGGGUCCUUGGUCUCUAUUUUCUUUUAAACGUUUCAGCACCCAACUAGGUAACAUCAUCUGUGCUGGGGUUUAGAACUAGUAUGGAUGAUCUUACUGAGUUGGGUAAUUAAAUGUCUGCAAGAAAACUACUAAACUCAGAGAGGACCAAACAACCCCACAAAUCAGAAAUGUUUUGUUUAUUUAUAUGUUCAAACCUCUACAAAUGCCCAAUAACUCAAUACUGAAUUUGAGUAGAUAAUCUUCUCUAGCAUUCCAUAUCAAGAUAAGUUGAUGAAGAAAAGGGACAGAUAUCAAUCCCAUCAGUGCAAGUCUGAGUGCUUUUAAAAAUAAAAUGUAAAAGUAAUUUGCAUCUUUGUCAUUUAUUGUUUACCAAAAGGGUUUGAUACGUUUUUUGUAAACAAAUUUUAUUGUAUUAUUUGACAAUGUAACAACAU
Non-coding RNA from Pseudonaja textilis, 1212 nucleotides. The record is from RefSeq and is a predicted model, not a curated record. Lineage: Eukaryota; Metazoa; Chordata; Lepidosauria; Squamata; Elapidae.